AACGCACCUUGCACCCUUUGGUAUUCCGAGGGGUACGCCCGUUUGAGUGUCAUUGUAAUCUCACUCUCUCAACCUUUGUUGGUUGGGGAGGUGGACUUGGACUCUGCUGUGGCUUCACAGCUGGUCUGAAAUGCAUGAGUGUACCCUGCCGUUGCAGCGUCUUCAGUGUGAUAAGUAUCUUCACUGGAUCAAGUUCCUUCGGGACACGCACGCGUGGCAGGCCCUGCGCUUCCAACCGUCCGCCUUGGUGGACAAACUGCUUGACAACUUGACCUCAAAUCGGGUGGGACUACCCGCUGAACUUAA
RNAcentral lists this unclassified non-coding RNA (306 nucleotides) under uncultured fungus. Its description in RNAcentral is "partial contains 5.8S ribosomal RNA, internal transcribed spacer 2, and large subunit ribosomal RNA". Lineage: Eukaryota; Fungi. The record is from RNAcentral.